RNAcentral lists this ribosomal RNA (490 nucleotides) under uncultured bacterium. RNAcentral's name for it is "partial 16S ribosomal RNA". It matches the Rfam family "Bacterial small subunit ribosomal RNA", at positions 29 to 507 of the family's 1533-position model. The record is from RNAcentral.
AUCGAACGCUGGCGGCAGGCUUAACACAUGCAAGUCGAAUGGUAACAGGAAACGGCUUGCUGUUUCGCUGACGGGUGGCGGACGGGGGAGGAAUGUCUGGGAAACUGCCUGAUGGAGGGGGUUACCUACUGGAAACGGUGGCUAAUCCCGCAUAACGUCGCAAGACCAAAGGGGGGGACUUUAAGGCCUCGUGCCGUCAGAGGUGGCCAGAGGGGAUUAGCUAGUAGGUGGGGUAACGGCUCACCCAGGCGACGUGCCCUAGCUGGUCUGAGAGGAUGGCCAGCCACACUGGAACUGAGACACGGUCCAGACUCCUACGGGAGGCAGCAGUGGGGAAUAUUGCACAGAGGGCGCAAGCCUGAUGCAGCCAUGCCGCGUGUAUGAAGAAGGCCUUCGGGUUGUAAAGUACUUUCAGCGGGGAGGAAGGGAGUAAAGUUAAUACCUUUGCUCAUUGACGUUACCCGCAGAAGAAGCACCGGCUAACUCCGUG